This is a long non-coding RNA of Solanum lycopersicum (tomato), 3113 nucleotides long. RefSeq lists it as uncharacterized. The record is from RefSeq and is a predicted model, not a curated record. Lineage: Eukaryota; Viridiplantae; Streptophyta; Magnoliopsida; Solanales; Solanaceae.
AAGUGUGAUGGAUAAUUUUUAAAGAGCAAACAAGAAAAGCCCAAUAUACUUUUUUUCCUAUGAUACUCCAAAGAAUAGCUGCCAAAAUUCCCUCCAAUCAUCUUUUCCAGUGAGCUUCACGUCUUUAUCUCCAAAGUUUGCAAACUUUACUCACGCCAAACGGCAGACAUAAACACCCACAACCACCCCUCUUCUCUCCAACCGGGACUCCCUCUCCCUCUUCUCUUCUCCAUUCCCAGAAACCCACCAAACAACCGACUAAAACAACUCUUAAAUCUCGUCCUUUUCCAACCGAAAUCCCCCAGCAUGAUCCACCAUUGCUCCACCAACCAAGAUCGUAAACCAACCACCAUUUCCAUUCACAAAACCACCAACUAAGGCCUCCAAAUAACCCCAAUUUCAGUGCCUUCUCUAUUUUCUGACCGAAGCAACUCCAAGUGAUAUGCCAACACCAAGAGUAGUUGACCCUCACUACAACUCAGCUCACCGAAAAAUCACCUCCCAAAAUCACCCUCGUCCCCGGCAAAACCCCAACGAAAUGGACCAACAACAACCAAACAACCUUCGAUGAAGCCAAAAAUCAACAAAAAACUAGAACUACAAUAUGCCAGCAGAUUCCGACCUCUAAACCCUGUUUUGAGGGUGUAUGAGCUCUGACGACCACCACAAAGUUUAAGUCUCCAAGAUCCAAUGGAUAGCGAAACCAUCACAAACAAGAUUUGUCGGCCAAUAGUUUUAUAUCCAUCUCAAGUUCAUCGUUUCCUAUUCUUUUUAUAAAAAACAUAUUUUUUGUUUAAUUUUGGUUUAAAUGUUAACUAUUACUUAGGUCGGAUUCACUUUAUAUUUUUAUUUUUCUAAUGCUAUUAUGUUCUUUUUGUUUUUGAUUUAUAUUUCUUUGCUACAUUUAAUCUUCCAUGUUUUGUCCAUUUUUAUUGGUUUUAUUUAGUUAUAUUGUUUAUUUUAUUUAUAUAUGACAUCUAUUAAUUUAUUAAGGCUGACGCUUUUUUUUAGAGCUUCAGUGAAUUAUUUGUGGAUUAUUUCGUUUAUUUCAUUGUACUAUGUUUUGUUUGAAACUCUUAUCAACACUACUGCAUUCUCUAUUUUUAAUAUCUUAAAUCUGAUGCAAUUUAAUUUAGUUUUAUGUCUAUGUCAUGGUAUUUGUUUAUUUCUUCCUUGCUGUUAAUACACUUCAAUUUGCUAUUGUCUAAAUGUUUGUUUUUAUAAAAAAUAUAUUAUUAUGUUGACUUUGUAUACUUUUUAUAAUUAUUCUCGUGUUUGUGGAAUUGAUUAUUCCAUUUACCCAUUAUUUGCUCUAGUUUUUUUAGUUUCCUUAUUUUGAUUAUUCGUCAUUCAUCAUUUACAUAUUCAUUUUUUAUGUUUUUUUCUCUAGUUAGUGCUACUAAUUAACUCUCAAGAUAUAUUUUAAUCUUUUGUUAACUUGUGUGGUUUUGGUAAAGUUUUAUGUUACUUUUAUUAACCAUCUUAUUAUUUUAUUAUUUUAAUUUACUUGCCAAUAUGGUUGUGGUUGCUCUAGUCGUAUGAUCAUGGGUAGCGUGUCUCAUGUAGAAGAAGCCAAGAAAGACCUAGUGAAAGAUGUUCAUAGGUUGGCUCGUUUGGGUGUUAGAUUGGAAGAUUCUCUAAUUGGUGGUUUAAUGAUCCAUCAUAACUCUGAAUUGUCUUUGGUGGUUGAGGUGACAUCUAAGAAACACCUUGAUGAACCAUUGAUAAGUUGAAGGAGUCAGUUCUUGGUAAGCUUAAUGAGUUAUUCUCCUUAGGGGUAAUGGUGUCUUGAGAUAUCAAGGAAGAUUAUAUUUGCCCAAUAUGGAUGACUUGAGAAAUCGGAUUCUUGAGGAAUCUCAUGGUUCCCGUUAUCCCAUUCAUCCGGGUUCUACAAACAUGUAUAAUGACCUUAGAGAAAUGUUUUGGUAGGAAGGCUUAAAAGGGGAUAUAGUAUAAUUCUAUAUGGGUGGUUGUGGAUAGGUUGACCAAAUCCUCUCCUUCUAUUCCCGUCAAGUCUACCUACUCGGCGGAAGAUAAUGCAAGGAUCUUCAUAGAUGAGAUUGUGUGUCGCCAUGGUAUUAUGUUAUCCAUCAUAUCGGAUAGGGGUGCACAAUUCACAUCUAGGUUUUGGAGGUCGUUUGUAAUGACCCCAAAAAAUGAAAUACGUCAAACUAGAGCUUCACAUCUUCUUCAUGAAUUAAUAGUGUAUCUAAAUAGUGCAUAUAAUCACUAAAAGUCAGUUUGUGAAGUUUGGAAUUCAAACGUCCAAAAAGUCCAACACAAUCGGAAAAUGUGCCUUGGAAUGUGCUAGUGUAUCCUUCAUUUUGGUGCAUGUUUUUGGGUAGUGUUUGCUAUCUAAUACCAGUGGGGAUGAGCCUAGUACCUACCAAGUGUCAAAAUGUUCGAGUACGACUCCUCCGGGAUGACCCUAAGGGACCCCAAGGAGGACACAAACGUUUGACAAAGGAGCAGCCCAAGGCAGUGUGUAGGGGAAGAUUUUGAAGCCCAACUCGCAAUGCGCCUGUAGAACGAGGCACACUGCCUCAAAAUGCUGAAAGCCAAGAAUCAGCAGAUCCCUCCUUGACGCGCAUCGAAGACCUCUUUUUGGCCGCGUCGUUUUUAAGUAAAAUUUGAAUUUUAAAAAGGAUCCAAAUAGUGUAGGGAUUCUUUGGAAACUAUGGGGAUCAUUUAUGGACUGAUUUAGGUCAUUUUAAACCUAAUUUCACCCACCAAUUCAAACCCUAAAGAUCAAAUAAAAUUUCUCCAAAAACCUCCAUUUUCAAGAAGCUUCAAGCUCCAAGGAAGAGGACCAAGUUCUUCACGUUUUCUUCACCAAAUUUCGUGGGUUUCUUCAUAUUAAGGUUGGAGGCAAGUUGAAGUUUAGAAGGAAAGCUUGAAAAUUGACUCUCUCAAGACUAAGUAUGUCCUCAUAUAUUCGAGGGCAUAGUCUAUGUUUCUUUAAUAAUUCUUUAAGACUCGUAUUAGACUAUUUAUGUAUUUAUUUCAAUGUAAAGGGUUGUGUCCCUAAUAUGUUUAAGGUGUGUCUUUAAGAUUGCCUUGUGGCCAUGAGACUUAUUCCUCAGCUUUUAUAAAAGAUGUUUCUUAUUAUUAUA